GUUGCUUCUCAUACAGUGUAAGUUUCAACUCAAUGCAAGAGCAGAUAAAAGAGCCACCUGAACAUUCAAUAACAUAAGAAGAACCAUAGUCGCUGCAAGUAGGAGAAGUAAAGAAAAGGAGUUUAGGCUCGUUCUACUACACAUACAACCCAUCUAAAAAGUUUCAGCUUCUUUAAGAUUCCAAAACGUUUAACUCACCGCACUGUCCAAUACCCAUGACCCAUCAAGAGUUUCCAAGCAGAAGGGUGACGAUCAAAGCCCCAUCUGUCACUGCAGUACUUGAACAGCUUCCAAAGAGCUAAGCUUGCUAACAAUCCCACCAAUGCAAGUGGCAUCUGAUACGUUCAAGAACAUUAUUUUGUUUUUACACUAGAGGUCUAGAACUUCUUCAAAAUAUCUUAUUGACCAACUAAGAUUUGUUCAUCUAGAAAUAAUUUAUUUAUUUAUCUAAAAUUAUCACAUCAACCUAUUAUUUCUUAAUGACUGAAAACAUGGAUACAAAAAAAAAAAAAAAUCGGACAUAUGCCUAAGUAAUAAAGUGUCAUUAAAAUAAAUAAAUAAAGUGUCAUUUUUCACAUUCAAAGCUUCUCCAAAAAUAAAUACACAUUGUAUAAAGACGUGCUAGGUAAUAACCCGCGCCUUGCGUGUAAUGCGAUUAUUAAUUUCGUUAAUUUUUUAAUAAGGAGACGUUAAUCUGUUUAAUCUGGAUAUCGGUUCGGUUUUAGGUUAUUUUUUUUGUUUUUAAUCUCCUAAAAUAUAACUAUCAUUUUAAAUUAAUAUUUAUUUGGUUUGUUCAGUUAAAAUGUUUGAUGUUUUUGUUUUUUUUUCUUUGAUAAUCAAUUUUUUGUUUUGUUUUCAUGUUAUGAAUCUUAGAUAGUCGUGAUGUCGAACCAAUGGUUUCAUAUUAUAGUUUUUAAACGGAUAAUAGUUAAAAAAAAAAGAAAAGAAAAUUACGAAGACAAAUUAUUUUACUACAAUUUGGUCGAUAGUGAAAGAAGUAUUAACAAAAAUAAUAUUUUAACUUCCAAACAAUUAGAUAUUUCAGUGGUGGUAAAUACUUAGUUAUAAAGUGC
RNAcentral lists this long non-coding RNA (1073 nucleotides) under Brassica rapa (field mustard). RNAcentral describes it as "long non-coding RNA (BRAP_LNC002256)". Lineage: Eukaryota; Viridiplantae; Streptophyta; Magnoliopsida; Brassicales; Brassicaceae. The record is from RNAcentral.